UACGGAGGAUGCAAGCGUUAUCCGGAAUGAUUGGGCGUAAAGCGUCCGCAGGUGGCUAUGUAAGUCUGCUGUUAAAGGGUCUGGCUCAACCAGAUAAAGGCAGUGGAAACUACAUGGCUAGAGUGCGUUCGGGGCAGAGGGAAUUCCUGGUGUAGCGGUGAAAUGCGUAGAUAUCGGGAGGAACAUCAGUGGCGAAGGCGGCCCUCUGGUCCAGUACUGACACUCAAGUGCGAAAGCGUGGGGAGCAAACAGG
RNAcentral lists this ribosomal RNA (253 nucleotides) under uncultured bacterium. Its description in RNAcentral is "partial 16S ribosomal RNA". It matches the Rfam family "Bacterial small subunit ribosomal RNA", at positions 524 to 776 of the family's 1533-position model. The record is from RNAcentral.